AGCGAGCUUGCCUAGAUGAUUUUAGUGCUUGCACUAAAUGAAACUAGAUACAAGCGAGCGGCGGACGGGUGAGUAACACGUGGGUAACCUGCCCAAGAGACUGGGUUAACACCUGGAAACAGAUGCUAAUACCGGAUAACAACACUAGACGCAUGUCUAGAGUUUGAAAGAUGGUUCUGCUAUCACUCUUGGAUGGACCUGCGGUGCAUUAGCUAGUUGGUAAGGUAACGGCUUACCAAGGCAAUGAUGCAUAGCCGAGUUGAGAGACUGAUCGGCCACAUUGGGACUGAGACACGGCCCAAACUCCUACGGGAGGCAGCAGUAGGGAGUCUUCCACAAUGGACGAAAGUCUGAUGGAGCAACGCCGCGUGAGUGAAGAAGGGUUUCGGCUCGUAAAGCUCUGUUGGUAGUGAAGAAAGAUAGAGGUAGUAACUGGCCUUUAUUUGACGGUAAUUACUUAGAAAGUCACGGCUAACUACGUGCCAGCAGCCGCGGUAAUACGUAGGUGGCAAGCGUUGUCCGGAUUUAUUGGGCGUAAAGCGAGUGCAGGCGGUUCAAUAAGUCUGAUGUGAAAGCCUUCGGCUCAACCGGAGAAUUGCAUCAGAAACUGUUGAACUUGAGUGCAGAAGAGGAGAGUGGAACUCCAUGUGUAGCGGUGGAAUGCGUANAUAUAUGGAAGAACACCAGUGNCGAAGGCGGCUCUCUGGUCUGC
Molecule: ribosomal RNA, 712 nt
Filed under: uncultured bacterium
Lineage: Bacteria
Description: bacterial SSU rRNA
Rfam family: Bacterial small subunit ribosomal RNA
Source: RNAcentral